Molecule: ribosomal RNA, 626 nt
Filed under: Yersinia enterocolitica
Lineage: Bacteria; Pseudomonadati; Pseudomonadota; Gammaproteobacteria; Enterobacterales; Yersiniaceae
Description: partial 23S ribosomal RNA
Rfam family: Bacterial large subunit ribosomal RNA
Source: RNAcentral
UCCAGGAAAAGCCUCUAAGCAUCAGGUAACAUUAAAUCGUACCCCAAACCGACACAGGUGGUCAGGUAGAGAAUACUCAGGCGCUUGAGAGAACUCGGGUGAAGGAACUAGGCAAAAUGGUGCCGUAACUUCGGGAGAAGGCACGCUGGCAUUAGGUAAAGAGACUUGCUCUCGGCGCCGAAGCCAGUCGCAGAUACCAGCUGGCUGCAACUGUUUAAUAAAAACACAGCACUGUGCAAACACGAAAGUGGACGUAUACGGUGUGACGCCUGCCCGGUGCUGGAAGGUUAAUUGAUGGGGUCAGCCGCAAGGCGAAGCUCUUGAUCGAAGCCCCAGUAAACGGCGGCCGUAACUAUAACGGUCCUAAGGUAGCGAAAUUCCUUGUCGGGUAAGUUCCGACCUGCACGAAUGGCGUAAUGAUGGCCAGGCUGUCUCCACCCGAGACUCAGUGAAAUUGAACUCGCUGUGAAGAUGCAGUGUACCCGCGGCAAGACGGAAAGACCCCGUGAACCUUUACUAUAGCUUGACACUGAACAUUGAGCCUUGAUGUGUAGGAUAGGUGGGAGGCAUUGAAGUGUGGACGCCAGUCUGCAUGGAGCCAACCUUGAAAUACCACCCUUUAAUGU